UGCUCUUCAUCCGGAAGAUAAUUACCACUCCGGAUUUUUUUUCUCCAUCUAAAACAGCCCGUACCGGUUCCCGUACUGGCCUGUGGCCUCGCUCCUCUCUCCCUCCUCUCGUCGAUCCCUAUCCACUCCAAAGAAAAGGAAAAUAACUCCAUCGGCACCUGGUUCUUCAUCCACACGCAUCAUUUCGCCAGAUUUGCUGCCGGCGAAGGUGGCCGGGUGAGUGCGUGAACGCGUUUGAUGCGGUCUUCAGGGUGCAGAUGCUCGCCCACCUCGGCGAGUCCGGCAGCGAGGCCAUCAGGAGGUCCGGCGACUAGCGACGGUGAUGGAUGUGCUGGAGGUUGGUGGCGUUGAGGGGGCAGUAAGGAAGCUCACGGAGAAGGGUGUGGAUUUCCUAGAUGAGUUCGUGCAAUGGAUAAUGGUCGGAUCUGAGGAGCGGGGCAGAGACUUGCACUGCGGCUAUGCUUCAUGAGAGCUAUGGGGUUAUGUAGACAAAUGUGAGAUCGUGCCAUAAGCAAAUGACAUCAAGAUCUGAGCACCGUUGCAGACGGCCUCGAGUUAUUUUCCUCUUCAUCUCCUACAAAAUGUUGCUUGCAUGGUCAAUUUGGGCAUCGGUUUGUUAAGCAGCAAAAGCUCGCAUGUUGAAUCUAGUCAACUCAAGUAUGUUUCCACCAGAAAACUCAAUCGUGUAGUGUAUGGAAUGACAUGUUUAUUUAGUUUCUACUAAUUAGUUUGGAUAACCUCUGAUCAUCCGAUGAAGUAACUGAGAAGAAAUUUUGGUCAUGUUAUUACUUCCCAUUUUUUAUACCUAUGCAAUUAAUGUUAUUUGUUGCUGGUUUUGCUGUGGCGCCAAGUCUAAAUGAGGGAACCUUGUAAUUAUUCAAAGCAAGAUCCAUGUGUUGACAUAGGAUGGAUUUUCUACAAAAUGCCUAUAAUAUCAGAGCUUUUCUAAUAUUCUCUUAACUGAAAAAGGCUGUUGGAUAGAUAGCUAUUAUGAAGAACAGAAAACUCAUAUAUCAAGUAAUUACAACAUGACAUGCUUCUGGUAGUGCUAACUUCAGCCGUUCAGCGCCUUGUUAUGUAAUACGUGUCGUUAUAUUGGUAGAUGUCAAGUGCUCUUCUCUAUCUCAGUUAUGGUCUGCCUUAGUUUCAGUCUAAGCUAUAUUAAUCAACUAAUUUUGUGGGUAACCUCCUUGUUCGCCUAGGUUUUUUUGGCUACUGUAUCUUCGAACUGACCACUUCUCUUGUAGCAUUUUUCAUCAACACUUCCGGUCUUGUGGCCAUAAACCUCUUUGGUCAUUUUAUGUGAUCUCCUUAUGGCUGCAGUAUCAGUACAUCUUAUUUUGCCACAACUGGCAACUGAGUCUUCAUCUUCAAGCAUUGCAGUUUUUACUUCCGCUUCAACAUGUUUCUUGUUCCCAGCAUACAUCUCUCCUUUCUUGUACACUUAUCUUGGUGUAUUCAUCCUCUGAGCCAUCCGAUAAUAUGAUAGAUCUCUAUCAUUUUCUUUUGUCAUUGCAGAGUCCAUGUGAUGUUUAUGUUUUUUUUCUUCACACCCAUCAUCAUGUACUAUAGCCCCAUUAGUAUCGUGUGGUUCUUCUUACAUAGAAACAAAUUGUCAUAUCCUUUUCUGAGGUGAAUCUCUAUUGUUAUUUGUCUGCAAAAUAAAAAUACAUUUCAAAGAUUACACGUGUCUCUAAAAAUUGAGAAGUAGUACUCUGAGAAAAUUAAUCACCCUUUAGCCUCUAUGUUAUGCUUCUUUGUUGCUUUUUUUAACACGGCGUCAACUUCAUCAUGAAAAAUUCUGAGAAUCAUAUGUGAGAUGUAUUAGUUAGGAAAAUACAAACACAAUACUUCUUUUGUAAUGGAUAAAGGCAAAUUUUCCUCCUCGGCUUUAUCUUUCAGGUCCAUCAUCUCAAGCCUAUCAUCACACACAAAUGUUCUUUUUACUGCAUAGUUUUUUGUUCUGAAAGUGAGAUUGCCAUCGCUGAACAUGAGCUGAAAAUAAGUGUUUGUCGACAUUAUUAUUAUGUAAUCUUUGGCGCUUCUUCAUAUUUCUCAUCCAGUGAAUUUAGCAAGUUCGAGACAAAUGUAUUGAACAAUUUUUCAGCCUCACCGUCAAAUAAAGUGCAACUUGUAGUAGUUGUACAGUCAUUAAUUUAUUGUCAAAUACGAUAACUAUCAUACGAUUGUUAUUAGUGUAGAGUAAAUGUAAUAGGAAAGAAGUCUUCUUCAAAUUAGUAGAAUAUGCUUACCGAGGUGAUACAUCAUCUCGAUAUGUAUCACAACUCUCGUAACAGUACUUGCCAACUUCCUUCUUAUCUAGUUUGUGAAAAUCCUCACAUCACAUAUACCAGCUUUGAAUAUGAUCACUUGUAGCUAUUACUGUGAACACAAAAUCCUAAAAUGAUUUCCCAAAAAUUUAGCAUACUGGAGAAAGUGAGAGACAUAAUUAAGUAGAUAUGCACUAUAACUGAUAUUUACUAAGUUGUCAUUGCAGGUGUUGAGAGUCUGGUUUUCCUCAACAAGUGGCGAUUUCAUAUCUUAGAAGAAGUCUCGCAUUAGUUCAAAUUUGAACUAAAACCAUAACACUUAUUUUGGAUCGAGGGAGUAUGAAUUUGGUAUUGAUUCUUGUGUUGAGUUCCUGCACAUUUGGAGCAAAUCGAGUAUAACAAUUAUCUUAGAUUGGUGAAUAAAGAUGAGUCAAGAUAAAUUAGCUGAGAAAUAAUAAAAGUUGGUCUUUCAUACCUGUCAACAAUUUCCCAAGUUUAUGGUAUAUCUAGAUCUGUAUAGAUUCUUAUGACACUUGACUUUAAGCAUAAUCAUGUUUAAUCAAAGUAAAUUCUGUUAGACAUAUUUUUAUAAUUAAUAGAAGAGCUUGUAACAUUAAUGAACUUACCAUUGAACUUCUGCACCAGUGAUGAGGAAUGGUUGUGCAUUAUGGACUUAAUCUUAUAUUAGAAUUCAAUCUGGCUGAAAUAUGAAGGUUCGGGGUUAUUUCUUUUUAUUAUUGAUUCCACAUGCUCCAUUUGGGUUGGUAAUCCAAUGACGUCUAUAAAAGCGGAGUUAAUUAUUUGAAAGUUUCAUCUAAUUUUUUUUCCUUUGUAGCAAACUCGAAGUAGUAAACUGGGUAACCUUCUGAUGAUCCUCUCACCUCCUUUACUUUUUUAAUGUAUGAAAAAUAACUAUAUUUCACUGCUUACUCGAAUAUACUUAUUCCACAAACUUAAAAUUGUUACAUAAAUAGAUUCUCAUUUAUCUUUGUUCUAUAUGUGUCUAUAAAUUAAACUACUUCCCGAUAGUCGCAAGAAUUGUUUGGCCAUGUGAAAACAAUCAAAACAUACUUAGUAGUUGUUGUAGAAAAUAACAGAACAGUUCGCAAGUAAAUAUAUGAUGACUAAACCUUUUCAUCGAUGAAUAUCAUACCGGCAUACUUAGUAGUUAAAACAAACAAUAGAACAAUCUGCUAAUAAAUAUGCAAUGGCAAAACCUUUUCAUCUAUGAAUAUCAUGCCGAGGUUCCAGAGCCAAUUAACUGUAGGAUUGAUUGAAUUUCAUAUUCUCAUUACUUGCACUUGAAUACAUAGUUUCGUCCUCCUGUUGUGAACUCGCUAUGCUUGUUGUAUGCCAUUGCUGCAAAAGGAUCACAAAAUCGCUAGUGAAUUAUUAAUAAUGCACCUAUGAAGAUUGUAUGCAGAAUAACAAUUACAAACCUUGAUGAUUCAGGCGAGAGGCUACUCAGAAGGUAGAUUGGAUCCAGAAUAACAAUUAGAAACCUUUAUGACUCAGGUGAGAAGCCACUCAGAAGGUUGCUUGGGCGUCACUACAUCUGGCUUGGUGACAUUACGUAGUUGAAUUGGAAGACUGAUUUUGUUGGUAGUGUGCUAGCUAGGUAGCAGAUUUGGCUGACUUCAAUUUUUGGGCAUGUGCUGGGUGCGGUUGCUUACGUAGUUGAAUUGGAAGACUGAUUUUGUUGGUAGUGUGCUAGCUAGGUAGCAGAUUUGGCUGACUUCAAUUUUUGGGCAUGUGCUGGGUGCGGUUGCAUGUAUGUGUUUUCAUGUGCCGUGUUUGCCUUGGCAAGUCAUGUUUGUACGUAGUCCGUAUACACGUCUUAUUUGCAUGCGUGUCCGAGUUUGAAAAAAAAUGAUGUCCUUAUUUGCUUAGGUUCCUUAUUUAUUUAUUUAUUUAUUUAUUUA
Triticum aestivum (bread wheat) is the source of this 4192-nucleotide long non-coding RNA. RefSeq lists it as uncharacterized. The record is from RefSeq and is a predicted model, not a curated record. The transcript is spliced from 4 exons. Lineage: Eukaryota; Viridiplantae; Streptophyta; Magnoliopsida; Poales; Poaceae.